GGGAUUUUGUGGUGCUUGAUAGAGACGGGCGGCGGGGGAGUAUGUGUGACGUCGCUGUCAGCUGGAGCGGGUGAGCGAAGGAGGAUUGGAGGAGUGUGGUGGGAGACAGUGUGGGGUUCGCCUGCGGCGAAGCGGGUGAGUGCGGAACCGGUGAGUCGGAGGGAGCGGAGGUAGUCGGAAUGGGCAGAGGCAAGGUGGUGGCGG
Molecule: unclassified non-coding RNA, 204 nt
Filed under: Hevea brasiliensis (rubber tree)
Lineage: Eukaryota; Viridiplantae; Streptophyta; Magnoliopsida; Malpighiales; Euphorbiaceae
Source: RNAcentral